RNAcentral lists this long non-coding RNA (897 nucleotides) under Homo sapiens (human). Its description in RNAcentral is "non-protein coding lnc-IZUMO2-2:2". Lineage: Eukaryota; Metazoa; Chordata; Mammalia; Primates; Hominidae. The record is from RNAcentral.
AGGCGCGUUCCGGGACCCGGCGGAGGAAGGGAAGGCCUGGCUGUCCAGCGGAAUCCGCCUGGACGCACGGAACUCGCGGACCCGACCGGAGCAGCUCUUCGGGCCCUGGCGUGAACCCUUCUCCCAGAGGCACAUGCCCAGAACCCAGCAAUGGCCAAUGGGACCUUGAUGGCCGAGGGCCAGUUAGCUUUUCUAAACCCUACCUGGAUAAGGAUAAGAAAUAGAAGGAGGGGACACUUUAGGAUGCUACAAAAUAAAAUACAACAACAACAACAGCAACAAAAGGGGAAGAAACAAAUCUGGCCACUGCACAUUCCUCCUUGCCAACAAAAAGCCGUGGAUGCAAAAAGCUGCCCUUCACUGCAUAGACAGAACAGGGCGCGCUCGAGCUAUGAAUCUCGGAAAUUACUCAAACCAUCAGCCUCUGCAAGAAGCAAAGUGGACGGCCGGGCGCGGUGGCUCACUCCUGGAAUCCCAGCACUUUGGGAGCCCGAGGUGGGCGGAUCACGAGGUCAGGAGAUCGAGACUGUUCUGGCUAAACCAGUGAAACCCCCUCUCUACUAAAAAAAUAACAAAAGCGAAGUGGAUCUCCCAUAAACGAGGUACUGCAGGAAGAAAGCAGAAAAUGAGACCCGAGUACACACAUGCACGCGGGCGUGCGCACACACACACCAGAAGAAAUGAACCAAGAGGAAAGGAAAUAUUUUCAACCACACGGGGCUCCUCACUGUUCCCGUAGCAGCAGGCAUGUGCCCCCACAGGGCCUCUGUACUGGCUGUUCCCACUGCCCGAACACCCUCAUGCACCAUCUGCACUGUCCAAUACGGCCGCCUCUGGCCACACAUGGCUACUGAGCAGUUGAACAUGGCUGGUCCAAACCAAGAUUUCCAAGACGUC